AGCUCCCGGUGUGCCCCGCGGACACCCGGUGAGUCUGGAGCCGGUCGGUGGGCCCCGGAGGUGCCCGGGAGCGGGGCUGGGGAGCGCGGGGUGCGGUUGUGAGCGCUGGGGAGUGGGGCUGGGAGUGUGGGUGUGCUGGGAGUCCGGCGGGGGACUGGCAGCUGCGGGGGUCCCAGACCUUUCCCUGCCUAGCCCAGCCUGCCUGAGCUGCCAGCCUCGUGACACGUACAAAGGAAGCACCACGGAGGAGCUGAUCUUCUGCAGUGAGGCCAUCAAGUUAGCCAUGAAACUGCAAGCCGUGCAGUGAGUUCAGAGCCACCAAGGCCAGAUGAAGACCCUGCCCAGGAAGGGCAAACAAGAAGGCAAGAAGCUGCAGGACCCCAUCUCUGAGCUCCCUGGGGAAGGGGAGGGUUUCCUCCUGAGAGGGCCCCACACUGGUGUUUGUGGCCAUGGUGAGCAGCUGGAGAAGGCAGAUGCUCUCACUGCCUGGCCAAAGCUGAAGCCUGAGAGGAGGAAGAGGCUGGCCCAAAUAAGACUGCAGUGGCCCCCUCUGCCACGUGCAUGGGUGUGCAGGGGCACAAGCUCCAGGCCCCCAUCUAAGGACAUGCAGGCACAGUAGGGGAAGAGGAAGGGUGCCAGGCACUGCAGGCUCAGACCAUGCCAAAAGUUGCUCCAGAACCACAGGGCUUUCUGCUUCACAUCCAGGAUCAAAAGUCUGAAGAGCCUGGAGGAAGGAAAAAAAAAAAAAACCAAGAGACCAUGCCUGAGUAGCUUGUGUUCUGUGGGGCAGUUACUGUCUCCCAGCUUGAGUUCUGUGGGGCAGUUGCUGGGUUCCAUGGCCUCCACAUCUGAACACAUGGUGUUCUAGAAUCAGCCACAGAAUGCUGAUUUGCAAAUAUUCUCUCAAGUCAAUUCCCAGUAGGUUCUCCAUGAACGGGGAUAAUAAGUGCCGCUGCACUAAGUUCCUCUAAGCCUGAUGGAAUUUAGCGAGAGUCCUGAACAGGAAUCAUCAUCACUCCAACUCCUUACUCUUGGUUUUACAGCCUGGAGUGCUCAGUUCAUGAAUAAGCACUGAAGGAUUCUGGUUCCCUUUGCCUGCUGCUCCUCUUUCCUCUGUGGCCAACACCAUGGAAAAGACCCAAGGUUCUCCAGCCUGCUCUCAGUAGAGAAAGACUGACUGCAUCUCUUGCCAAGAAGGCUUCUUGAUGUAAUGAGAGGGGUGCUGCUCCCACGUGAGAAACCAAGAGAAAGGGAUGGAAAAUAUAUGUAUAAUUCAGGAGUCUCCCACUGCCUGAAGCGGCUGGUUAAUCUGGUCCCGCAGAAGGGUCUGUGCAGUACAGAAGCUCCCCAAGCAAGCCCCUGGCAAAGGCUGGCUUGCUGCGGUCAGCAGACUGAGCCCACCACUGCUCCCAAGGAGUGCUUCCUCAAGGUCUUCUGUCCAGACAAGCCUCCUUCCCCAAAAUGCAGGGUCACUUUCUUCACACUGCUGGUCUCUGCCCUCAGCUGAGACACCUCACUCGGGAGGUGGGAACGAGCAGGAAAGAGCUUCCCAGAGGGAUGAAAACACAAACACACAACACCCGGCCCAGGAGCCCAGGACCGCACCCAAACCCUAACAUCCCCCAACAGGGCUUCCCUGCAGACCCACCCUAAAAUCCAUCCUUUAGGUGCCACCUGAAGGUUCAUUUCUCCAGUUCAUUCCUGAAUCCUCAUGACCAAUAACAUAAGAAAGUUGGGAUAACCUCAGGACAGGAAGAGCCCCCACCUCAUUAUCUGUCCCACAGUGGGUCUGAUCCCGGUUUAAGGCACAUAGUGAAGCCCGAAGCAGUGCUGGCCCGGCUGGCACACCCAGGCAGCUCAGUGCCCAGCCCAGAGUCCUUGACAUCUCAGUUCCAAACUGGUUGAGCCAGGGAAGAGGCCCUGCUUGGGAUUGGUGAGGAGCAGGCAGGGGUAUGCAGGACCAAGCACCAUCACUAGGCACAUUCAAUAGGAUUGACCAGGGCUCUUGAGUGGUUCCCAGUUACUCUGAGUCACCUCCAGCAGGGUUCUGGGUUGCACUCGGAUUCCCAGUAGCCCUCAGAGAUUCUCAAGCGGUUUCCAGUUAUUCCCAGUUACACCCAGAGGCUCUUGAAAGCUUCCCAGUUGCCCGCAAAGGUUCUGGGUUGCCCUCUGGGCUUCCUAGUUGGCCGCAGUGGCUCCCUAGUUGCCUCCACAAGGCUCUGGGAUGUUCCACCUUCCCCUUCAGAGGCUCCCAGGGUGAUGGCGUCCCUUGCCCCUGUGUCCCAGCUCAUGCAGCUAGGCUCCCUGCAGCAGUCAGCCCCGCAGGCACGAGAGGCAACGCUUCCCAGGUUUACCACUUAUUUAACAUGUAUUUGCUUGGAAGGAGGGAAAUUGUAUUUCGUAAGUGUCAGGAUUGAGAAAACUCUCCCUGCUCAUGGGAAGAUGGGAAUAAAGAAAAAACAAAAACCCAAUAAACCCCCACAUUUGCUGGAUUUGGGCUGGAUUUUGACUGCAAUGGAACAAGGUAAAACCCCUGAAUACCUGCAGUAUAUUGAUGACAUCAGUGUGUGGAGCAACACAGCAGAGGAAGUGUUUGAGAAAGGCAGAAGAAUAAUCCAGAUUCUUUUGAAAAUGGUUUUUGCCAUAAAACAAAAGUCAAAUGACCUUCAUAGGAGCUCCAUUUUUUAGGAAUAAAAUGGUAAGAUGGG
Strigops habroptila (Kakapo) is the source of this 2708-nucleotide long non-coding RNA. Lineage: Eukaryota; Metazoa; Chordata; Aves; Psittaciformes; Psittacidae. The record is from Ensembl.